Molecule: ribosomal RNA, 871 nt
Filed under: uncultured Streptococcus sp.
Lineage: Bacteria; Bacillati; Bacillota; Bacilli; Lactobacillales; Streptococcaceae
Description: bacterial SSU rRNA
Rfam family: Bacterial small subunit ribosomal RNA
Source: RNAcentral
GAACGCUGGCGGCGUGCCUAAUACAUGCAAGUAGAACGCUGAAGAGAGGAGCUUGCUCUUCUUGGAUGAGUUGCAAACGGGUGAGUAACGCGUAGGUAACCUGCCUGGUAGCGGGGGAUAACUAUUGGAAACGAUAGCUAAUACCGCAUGAUAUUAAUUGUCGCAUGAUAAUUAAUUGAAAGAUGCAAUUGCAUCACUACCAGAUGGACCUGCGUUGUAUUAGCUAGUUGGUGAGGUAACGGCUCACCAAGGCGACGAUACAUAGCCGACCUGAGAGGGUGAUCGGCCACACUGGGACUGAGACACGGCCCAGACUCCUACGGGAGGCAGCAGUAGGGAAUCUUCGGCAAUGGGGGGAACCCUGACCGAGCAACGCCGCGUGAGUGAAGAAGGUUUUCGGAUCGUAGAGCUCUGUUGUAAGAGAAGAACGGGUGUGAGAGUGGAAAGUUCACACUGUGACGGUAUCUUACCAGAAAGGGACGGCUAACUACGUGCCAGCAGCCGCGGUAAUACGUAGGUCCCGAGCGUUGUCCGGAUUUAUUGGGCGUAAAGCGAGCGCAGGCGGUUAGAUAAGUCUGAAGUUAAAGGCUGUGGCUUAACCAUAGUAUGCUUUGGAAACUGUUUAACUUGAGUGCAGAAGGGGAGAGUGGAAUUCCAUGUGUAGCGGUGAAAUGCGUAGAUAUAUGGAGGAACACCGGUGGCGAAAGCGGCUCUCUGGUCUGUAACUGACGCUGAGGCUCGAAAGCGUGGGGAGCAAACAGGAUUAGAUAGCCUGGUAGUCCACGCCGUAAACGAUGAGUGCUAGGUGUUAGGCCCUUUCCGGGGCUUAGUGCCGCAGCUAACGCAUUAAGCACUCCGCCUGGGAGUACGA